Molecule: ribosomal RNA, 788 nt
Filed under: uncultured Pelagibacteraceae bacterium
Lineage: Bacteria; Pseudomonadati; Pseudomonadota; Alphaproteobacteria; Candidatus Pelagibacterales; Candidatus Pelagibacteraceae
Description: bacterial SSU rRNA
Rfam family: Bacterial small subunit ribosomal RNA
Source: RNAcentral
GGCACGCCUAAUACAUGCAAGUCGAACGAAGUAGCAAUACUUAGUGGCAGACGGGUGAGUAACAUGUGGGUAUCUUCCCUAUGGUGAGGAAUAACACGAGGAAACUUGUGCUAAUACCUCAUAAGUCUUUACGGAGAAAGCUUUAUGCGCCAUUGGAUGAGCCCGCACUUGAUUAGUUUGUUGGUGGGGUAAAAGCCUACCAAGACAUAGAUCAAUAGCUGAUUUGAGAGGAUGAUCAGCCACAUUGGGACUGAGACACGGCCCAAACUCCUACGGGAGGCAGCAGUAGGGAAUCUUGCACAAUGGGGGAAACCCUGAUGCAGCGAUGCCGCGUGAGUGAAGAAGGCCUUUGGGUUGUAAAGCUCUUUCGUCGGGGAAGAAAAUGACUGUACCCGAAUAAGAAGGUCCGGCUAACUUCGUGCCAGCAGCCGCGGUAAUACGAAGGGACCUAGCGUAGUUCGGAAUUACUGGGCUUAAAGAGUUCGUAGGUUGUUGAAAAAGUUGGUGGUGAAAUCCCAGAGCUUAACUCUGGAACUGCCAUCAAAACUUUUUAGCUAGAGCAUGAUAGAGGAAAGCAGAAUUUCUAGUGUAGAGGUGAAAUUCGUAGAUAUUAGAAAGAAUACCGAUUGCGAAGGCAGCUUUCUGGAUCAUUGCUGACACUGAGGAACGAAAGCAUGGGUAGCGAAGAGGAUUAGAUACCCUCGUAGUCCAUGCCGUAAACGAUGUGUGUUAGACGUUGGAAAUUUAUUUUCAGUGUCGCAGCGAAAGCAGUAAACACACCGCCUGGG